Molecule: long non-coding RNA, 231 nt
Organism: Magnolia sinica
Lineage: Eukaryota; Viridiplantae; Streptophyta; Magnoliopsida; Magnoliales; Magnoliaceae
Exons: 2
Source: RefSeq, a predicted model, not a curated record
ACUCCAUGCGUGUUUGAGAUCCACUCUCUUCAUAUUUUAUUUAGCAACAGUCUGAAUUGGGCAAUUCCACUACACUGAAUUUAUAAGAGAGAGAGAGAGAGAGAGAGAGAGAGAGAGAGAAGCUAAAAGAAAUUUUGCAAAACCCAAAGAAUCACAUUAUCUCACUAAAAACUAUGAACGCAAUUUUCUCUCAUUUAACUACACAACCUGAAACAAAAAUAAAAAAAUAAA